CGAAUGCUGACAUAAGUAACGAUAAAGCGGGUGAAAAGCCCGCUCGCCGGAAGACCAAGGGUUCCUGUCCAACGUUAAUCGGGGCAGGGUGAGUCGACCCCUAAGGCGAGGCCGAAAGGCGUAGUCGAUGGGAAACAGGUUAAUAUUCCUGUACUUGGUGUUACUGCGAAGGGGGGACGGAGAAGGCUAUGUUGGCCGGGCGACGGUUGUCCCGGUUUAAGCGUGUAGGCUGGUUUUCCAGGCAAAUCCGGAAAAUCAAGGCUGAGGCGUGAUGACGAGGCACUACGGUGCUGAAGCAACAAAUGCCCUGCUUCCAGGAAAAGCCUCUAAGCAUCAGGUAACAUCAAAUCGUACCCCAAACCGACACAGGUGGUCAGGUAGAGAAUACCAAGGCGCUUGAGAGAACUCGGGUGAAGGAACUAGGCAAAAUGGUGCCGUAACUUCGGGAGAAGGCACGCUGAUAUGUAGGUGAAGCGACUUGCUCGUGGAGCUGAAAUCAGUCGAAGAUACCAGCUGGCUGCAACUGUUUAUUAAAAACACAGCACUGUGCAAACACGAAAGUGGACGUAUACGGUGUGACGCCUGCCCGGUGCCGGAAGGUUAAUUGAUGGGGUUAGCGGUAACGCGAAGCUCUUGAUCGAAGCCCCGGUAAACGGCGGCCGUAACUAUAACGGUCCUAAGGUAGCGAAAUUCCUUGUCGGGUAAGUUCCGACCUGCACGAAUGGCGUAAUGAUGGCCAGGCUGUCUCCACCCGAGACUCAGUGAAAUUGAACUCGCUGUGAAGAUGCAGUGUACCCGCGGCAAGACGGAAAGACCCCGUGAACCUUUACUAUAGCUUGACACUGAACAUUGAGCCUUGAUGUGUAGGAUAGGUGGGAGGCUUUGAAGUGUGGACGCCAGUCUGCAUGGAGCCGACCUUGAAAUACCACCCUUUAAUGUUUGAUGUUCUAACGUUGGCCCCUGAUCGGGGUUGCGGACAGUGUCUGGUGGGUAGUUUGACUGGGGCGGUCUCCUCCUAAAGAGUAACGGAGGAGCACGAAGGUUGGCUAAUCCUGGUCGGACAUCAGGAGGUUAGUGCAAUGGCAUAAGCCAGCUUGACUGCGAGCGUGACGGCGCGAGCAGGUGCGAAAGCAGGUCAUAGUGAUCCGGUGGUUCUGAAUGGAAGGGCCAUCGCUCAACGGAUAAAAGGUACUCCGGGGAUAACAGGCUGAUACCGCCCAAGAGUUCAUAUCGACGGCGGUGUUUGGCACCUCGAUGUCGGCUCAUCACAUCCUGGGGCUGAAGUAGGUCCCAAGGGUAUGGCUGUUCGCCAUUUAAAGUGGUACGCGAGCUGGGUUUAGAACGUCGUGAGACAGUUCGGUCCCUAUCUGCCGUGGGCGCUGGAGAACUGAGGGGGGCUGCUCCUAGUACGAGAGGACCGGAGUGGACGCAUCACUGGUGUUCGGGUUGUCAUGCCAAUGGCACUGCCCGGUAGCUAAAUGCGGAAGAGAUAAGUGCUGAAAGCAUCUAAGCACGAAACUUGCCCCGAGAUGAGUUCUCCCUGAGACUUUAAGUCUCCUGAAGGAACGUUGAAGACGACGACGUUGAUAGGCCGGGUGUGUAAGCGCAGCGAUGCGUUGAGCUAACCGGUACUAAUGAACCGUGAGG
This 1647-nucleotide ribosomal RNA is filed under the name Escherichia coli. Its description in RNAcentral is "bacterial LSU rRNA". It matches the Rfam family "Bacterial large subunit ribosomal RNA", at positions 1291 to 2915 of the family's 2925-position model. Lineage: Bacteria; Pseudomonadati; Pseudomonadota; Gammaproteobacteria; Enterobacterales; Enterobacteriaceae. The record is from RNAcentral.